AGGAGUGAAGCAAACAUUUCAGAAAUAGCCUCUUGGUGACCGUGUCCAGAGAAAGAUGACCAAAAUGAUGAAGGGUCUAGACACCAUGUCUUAUGAGGAGAAACUUAAGGAGCUGGACAUGUUUUGGAGCUGGAGAAGAGAAGGUUAAGAGGACGAAUUGAAGCACCUAGUUUGGGCUCUACAGGCUAAUGGUUACUCCAGUUCAGACAUCAGAAGGGCUGUCAGAAAAACCCACAGGAGUGAAGAUGAACAACCACCUAAAAGGAAGUUAUCUCCAAUGAGGCUAUCAUAUCAAGAAAGAAAAGAAAAGAAGUAAGAACCUAAGGAUGAGUCCAAUAUUCUGUUCUCAUAGUGGGUGGCCCGUGCCUGGAGAAGCCAACAAUCAGGAAACAGCAGCAUAAUACCAGAGGCAACAUCUCAAUCCUGCUUUACCAAGCAGCAGCUACUGCAAGCAACAGAGACCUGUUCUUCUGUUGACUGAGAUUAAACCGACUGACUUUUCCACACCUCUCCCAUGAACAAUCUUUGUUAUGACUAUUGGAAGCAGGAUCCCUCCCAAAAUUCCUCCUCAUACUGAAUUUCCCUCAUGAGACUGACAGAAGAUAC
Molecule: long non-coding RNA, 606 nt
Organism: Sceloporus undulatus (fence lizard)
Lineage: Eukaryota; Metazoa; Chordata; Lepidosauria; Squamata; Phrynosomatidae
Exons: 5
Source: RefSeq, a predicted model, not a curated record